AGUUCCCAAAUAUAUUUCUUUGACAUAUUUUGAAACGGCCCUGCAAAGCUGUCUCUUGUGGGGGAAAUUUACAUCCUGUAGAGACUCCUCUUCCUUUUCCAGGUCUUCUUCUGAUCCUGAAGAGAUUAGCUGGGAGUCUAGCACCUUUCAAAGGUCUAAGUAGGAAACAUUUGCCAUCUAUUGCCUCUAAGGGCAGCCACUUAUGAGACUUCAUCUACAUAAUAAUCUUGGUCUCCACAACCCCUUGUCUUAACCCAGACACUCAUUUCUGUUUAUUACACGUCUUUAGAUAAUAACUUAACUCUUUCAACUAAUUGGCAGUCAGAAAACUUUUGAAUCCACAUGUGACCUGUAAGCCCCCACUGGAGUUGACCCACCUUUCUGAACUGAACCAAUGUAUACCUUACAUGUAGUGAUUGAGGUCUUAUGUCUCCUUGAAACAUAUAAAACCAAGCUGUACCACAACCACCCCGGGCACAGGUUCUCAGGACCUCCUGGGGCUGUGUCAUUGGUCAUGGUCUCCACAUCUGGCUCAGAACAAAUCUCUUCAAAUAUUUUAUAGAGUUUGGCUUUUUCAUCAACAGCCCCACACUAUCACAUGGAUUCUUCUUCUUUUCUUCUGUCCAGCCAGAAGAUACCCAGCCACUCAAUGUGGUAGACCAACAUUUCCUCAUCCAGGUCUUAAUGUCCCCUAGGAAGACCUCUGGAAGGGUCUCCUGCCCCAUCCAGAUUAGGUACCCUCUUUUGGCUCCAAAGAAAACUCUCUACCUCCAACAUAUGCUAACAUUACACAAUUUUGUAAUAACCUGUUUACCUAUCUGUACUGCCAACUACAACAUAAGCCAGAAGAACCAAAAAACCAUGCUUAGUGCACUGUUAUGCUCCCAUUAGCCAGCACAGAACUAGUCACAUAGUAGACACUCAGUAAAUAUUUACCAAAUGAAUGUAUCUCAUCCAACUCCAUUUUCUAGUUGAAGUAAUGGUUUAGAGAUGAUAAGCCCCUUAUCCAUGACUACAUCAAAAAUAGUAGUUAAGCUGGGUUAGAACUCGCAACUCCUGCCUGUAAAUGUGGGCUCUUCUCCACUUUGCUACUCCUCUUUGUGCUGGAAGGUUAAGAAUAUCCAGAUGUGAUGAGGUUUAUUUUUUAGAGGUAGGUGAGUGUGUGUGUGUGUGUGUAUGUGUGUGUGUGUGUGUUUAUGCUCAGCCCUUUUGUAUUAAAAAAGAGAGGCACACUCAGGUUCCUGCAAGUAAUAGGAUUUUUGGGGGGAGUUUCCUUGUUUUCUUUUUAGACACACACGUUAAGGAUGAUAGAAAGCUCAUGUGACAAGAAUUGCCAUCUAGCCAGGCCCGAAGGAAACCUGACCAGGAACUAGGUUUUCUCCUUGUUCCUGAGCAGCAAAAUGUCACCAGUUCCCUGCCAUCCUGAGGACUCAGCUCUGCCCUAUUGCUUCUGUUCUUGUUGCUGCUAUCUACCAGUGACCCACCUUCUGUGCAUGCCUUCCUGAUGGCUACUGCUUAACAGGAAGAUGAGCUUGCACAUGCCUUCUCUUUGCAAAUUUUUAUCAUCUCUUAUUGCUACCCAACUGAUUUUCUCUUCUAUAUUUUCUAAUCCUAAUUUCUGACGACGCUACUCUGGUUGGCUCCUUUGGCUACAUUCUUUUCUGUUUGGGUAUGGUUUUUUUUUUUUUUAUGUCUGGCCACUCCAUAGGUUAGCCCAAGGGCUGGCUGCUUUUGCAGACAAUUAGCUAUGAUGUGGGAGGACAAAGGCAGGUCAUGUGGAAUAUAACAUGUUUUUUCCAUGGAGAUUGUAGGGGAGGCAUUUUUUUCUUUCCUUGUGAUUGAGAGUGAGGCAGAUAACAUCAUUGACCUGUCCAAUACAGCAAAAAACAAAAAAACACCUCAAACCACAGUUUUUGGAUAACAGUCCAAUGCAUUCUCUCAUGGCAAGGUAUAGUAGUAUCUUUAAAAGGCUCAAAUACUUUCAUUCCGAGCAUGUGUGGGUCCCAAUUUUCUUUUUCAGGUUAAGGGGCUGGGGAAAAACCAUGCUAGGGGUGGUGUAAAGAAAAUGGAAAGUAAAAUAACUCAGAUUGUAACAUUAUUUGACUUAGACAAUAACAAGAGAAUUUAAAUGGAGCUAGAUCUCAAAGUGAUUUCUAUGAAAACAGACAACUAAGUUUUAUUUUUCUUUCUUUUUUAAAAAAGAUUUUAAUCUAAUCUGAUAGAGUAGGAGAAAAUAACUCAAUGUUCUGAAAAUAAAUUUCCCAGAGGAGGCCAUUAAGGCAGCCCUUUUGUUUCCUGUCAUACUCUGAAUCAGCUACAAGGACAAACUCUAUUUGUUUGAGUACAUUAAUUUUGCUCAAUGGCCUUUCUAUAAAAUGAGCAUCAAAUUGAUGGGACUGGACCUCAGUAAAGAAGAAGUUCCAAUUUUCUCUGGAUGGAUUGUUCUGGAUGUGCAGUGGAAAAUUAUUAUUAACAGCAAUUCAUGUUUACUAUCCAGUGAGAACAAGAGAAAGAUGGAGUUUAGAAACACAGCUGUAUCUGACUAAGCACUGAGCACCAUAGGACAAAUUACUAGGGAAUGAUGAGCUGAUCUUUGUCUUCUGUGUGGCUAGUCUACUUGGGCCAUAUAUGGUAUGCUGGACCACAGAUUUUCUCUGACUGUGUCUUGGUUCAGUAAUUUCAGGGAAGCAAGAUAGGUUUUUAAUAUGAUCUAGUCAUUUGGGUUGUCUUGUUGCAGGUACCAUAUGGUGCUGAUGUGUCGGAUGCCUCCAUGUGUUGAUUUCAAUCAUUCAACUGGACACAUGGUGAGAGGCUGAACAGACAUGCUUCCUUCCCUCAUGGAGUUUAUAUUGCAAUUGAAUCUGGUUCCGAGACCUUCUGAUUCUGAUUCAGCCUUCUAAGUUCAAACCAAAGCAGAGGUAUUCAAUGGCUGUUAAUUUUCCUUCCCAGGUUAAGGGGUUGGGAGUAAAGCAUGCUGAAAUAAUGUAUGAAGAAGGAAAUUAAAAGAAGUAAAAUAGGCCAGGCACAGGGGCUCAUGCUUGUAAUCCCAGCACUUCGGGAGGCUGAGUUGGGAGAUCACUUAAGGUCAGGAGUUCAAGACCAACCUGGUCAACAUGGUGAAACCCCAUCUCUACUAAAAAUAAAAAUAUUAGCCGGAUGUAGUGGCACACACCUGUGGUCCCAGCUACUCGGGAGGCUGAGGCAGGAGAAUCACUUGAACCCUGGAGGCGGAGGUUGCUGUGAGCCAAGAUCACGCCACUGCAUUGCAGCCUGGGGACAGAGUGAGACUCUGUCUCAAAAAGAAAAAAAGGAAGCAAAAUAACUUCAUCUUCCUGGGGCUCAGUCAGAACCCAGCAAGUUCCUGCAGACAGUGGGGUAUGGAGAGCUGCUAUAAUUCACAUUUCUCGUAAAUGUAUAAGACUUUGCCAUUUGCAUUCUAUGUGCUAAGCUCAUUCCUGAUUCUAUUUAUCUUCUCUUCCAUGGAAAUAAACAAAGACCUACUCAAACGAGAGCAGGCAAAAGCUCCUUAUUUACAGCUUGUUAUAGCAAGGGAGUCAGCCACCAUCACUUGUAUUUGGCAGAGACUCAAAGGCAGGCAGAGGGGUGGGAAAGUUUCAUAGUAACAAAAAGGGAAGGCUUCAGGUACACCCUAAUGGGAGGCUGUUGGCAGGAGAAGUUGGAGGCAGCUAACCAGAAAGAGGGCAUCCUAUGUGAUUGAUUCGGGUAUAAUAUUUGGCUUUCUCUGGUUGGCCUUGAGUUGGAAGCAGGGAUUAAAAUUAGGGAAGCUGGCAGUUAUUAAUCAAGUCUUGGCCAUUUUGGGCCAAUGGCUAGAGGGGUUAUUGUUUAGCUUCCUGGGCUGUUGGCUAGAGAUAAUGGGUUGGUUACUACAGAUUGUGGGUCAGGAAGUUCUACUUAAAAAAAAAAAAUAUAUAUAUAUAUGUGUGUGUGUGUGUGUGUGUGUGUAUGUGUGUGUGUGUGUAUAUAUGUGUGUGUGUGUACAUGUAUAUAUAUAAAGAGAAAGACAGAGAGGGUCUCACUCUGUCACCCAGGCUGGAAUGCAGUAGCUCAAUCACAGCUCACUGCAGCCUAGACCUCCUGGGCUCAAGUGGUCCUCCCACCUCAGCAUCCCAAGUAGCUGGAACUAUAGGUAUGCACCACCAUGCACAGCCAAUUUUUUUGUAUUUUUUAUAGAGACGGUGUCUCACUAUGUUGUCCAGGCUGGUCUCAAACUCUUGGCUCAAGCGAUUUGCCCACCUCAGGCUCCCAUAGUGCUGUGAUUAUGGGCAUGAGCCACUGUGUCUGGCUUCAGAGUUCUACUUUGGUAGAUGGUCUGGCAUCUGACUUAUCAUUUUACCUAGAUUGCUUCAUGUAUUUUAACUUUCAAAUCCUUUAUCUUACACAUAUCUAUUCAUAGCCAUCAAUUCUGCAACCUCCAUAGUACAUUUUCUAAAAAUUUUUAAUUAUAAAAAGAAUACAUGUUCAUCAAAUUAAAAGUUUUAAAGAUAGAGCUAAACAAAAGGAAAAAUAAUUUCAUAAACUCCCACCAACCACAUUUCUGCUGACAAUUUGCUCUAUGUUCUUUCUAUGCAUAUAUGUCAAUACAAUCCCAUAGCACUUUGUACAUUCGUAACUCUUCUAUAAAUAGUUGUCGUGUGUGCUUCCUCCCCUCCCCCCAUUGGAGAUUUGCAGAGAUAGAGAGUGUUUUUCAUUUAACCCUUACUCUCCAAACCUUACAUGGUGUGUUAAACCUGGUAGCAUGUUUAAUAAGCAUUAAGUACAAUUGGGAAAUAGGGAAAUUUCAUGUGGUUAAACCCAGCGGAUGGAUGGAUAAAUGGAUGAAUGGACGGAUGGAUAAAUUGUAAUACCUUUAACCAUUGUCAAUUCUAUUCCAUGUAACUAAUGAUUUAAACAUCAAACUUUUGAAUGAACAUGUUGUGGCCUCUUGACAGCAAUGGAGAAAAUUCUGACUUCUGCUCUUAGCUUAGUUAUUUCUCACAUUUGUCUAUGACUGAUAGUUAGCCAAUUACUAAAUAACAGUGUCAAUCCCUUUCAUCCAUACGUGCAUUCAACAUUUUUAUAAAACUGCAAUCUCCCUGUCACGAGUAGAUAGAUCAUUUUCAUUUUUCAAUUAUUUGAGCUUCAGUUUAGGACUUUGGUUAAUGGUUUUGCAAGACAUUGAUUGGAGAGGUCCUUUUCUUUCCUGAUUAAAAGCAUGUAUGAUGUCGUCUCUCUAGCUAUGUUUUAUUUGUAUCUAGUAAUUGUGAAUCUAAAUAUAUGACUAUGGUGAUCUGUCACAUACUAUAUUAUGUGAAUUUUUCAGGAAGCAAAAUAAUUCUAAAAAAAUCAUUUCAGAAGAUUGUCAUUAGUCAGACUAAGGAUAAUGGAAGUAAAUCUUAUGUAAAAUAAAUUGUUUUCAAUAAAACAUUAUAAUAGAAAAUCACUGUUGCCAACUCCUAUUCAAUAUUCCUCCUAUUAUAGUAUCUGUGUAUCAUAUCUAGAGAGGAGUUUCUACAUAAAUUGUUUCUACGGCCAUUGUCCUUGGGGCUUAGUCUUUAAAAAACUACAGUUGGUAGUAGCAUGGAGGAGAAGAGUACAAAGUCAGCCGUCCUGAGCUCCCCCUCAUUCUAGCUCUGUCUCUUACAGGUUUUGUGAUCUCGGAUAUGUUAUCUUCUCUGCUGGAGUCUUACUUACCUGUUCUGUAAAAUGGGGAUCAAAUGUUAUCUUGUAGAAGAUAGUCAUUCAUUGUUUCAUUCAACGUACACUUACUUAUGUGUCCAAGCCCUGUGGUAGGCAGAGCUAUUGGGUGAUAGCACAACUCCAUGCACAAUAUGUUUCUAUUGUUUUUUAUGCUCUGGGUAUGAGUAGGAUGGAGGCAGGCAAGGGGCUUCCUCAAAUCUUCUGUUGUAGUGAAAUUGGCAACUUCAAGAUAUAAGCCAGUUCCUGGUAACAACAUGCUGUAGUUUCAGGUAUGAGUAUUGGGGCUCAAAUCUUUGGUAAUUUGAUUUUGGGAAACUCUGAACUGUUCCCUUUCAAUUCUCUCCUGGGCAAAAUGUAAAUAAUGGUUUCUGCUUCACUUACUGUCCAGAAUUCUCUAGGUGGUUAUAUCUGUUAGCAGUUUACAUGCGUUACCAGAAUCAAAUGAGAUCAUCAAAAGGCAUUAUCUCUGCCCAUGACCUUUGUAAACUGUAAAUAUAUAAUUGGUGAUUAAAAUUCUUACUUUUUUAUUUUUUAACUCAGGUUGGUUUGAGGAAAGCAAUGUUUUUCAGUUUUUUGGUUAAACUUUCCCGGAGGAGUUUGAAACUCUUCCCUGCACCUACCUUAGAGUUUAUCCACAGCAUCGCAUGUUUAUUGACAUCAACUAGGAAGAAUUUCAAAAAUCCCAAGGUGUCUUGCCCUAAGCAAUAAUCUCUGGGGGUGCAGCUGUUAAAAAACUCCCCAGGUGAUCCGAAUGUGCAGCCAGGGCAGAGAAACACAGCCUCAAGAAAUGAUUUUCCAGUUUAACACCUGAAGUCCAGCCAGAAAAACUCCUAAGCAUUACAACUGUUCCAGGUGGGCAGGUAGUGGUUUAUCCAACCUCCCUCUCACUUUCAGGAAGGUGGAGGCUGCAGCCAUUCUGGGUGCUUGGACAGGUGGAUAGAGGAUCUGCCUCUGCCAUUACAAAAUGCCAUUGCCAGCAUUUAAUAUUUUCAAUAAUAGUAAUAAAAUCACUUUUUAUAAUUGAAGUGCUUCACAGAUUCCAGAGCGCUUUCAAAUGCAUCAACUCAUUGAAAUAAAUUUACUUCGCCCCCACCAAUAAAAAGAAACAAGUGCUUUUUUAUAGGAAUUUUAGGAAGCAUAGAAAAGCUGAAAGAAGACAUCAAAAAAUCUUCCAAAUCCCAUUACUUAAAGACAAUCAUAUUUUGUAAAUUUUCUUCUAGUUUUUUUAACAAAUUAGUUAAAAUUUUUAUCAUAAAAUUAUGCAUGUUUAUUGUAAAAAAAAGUUAAAUACCGAAUUUGUAAAGCAAAAAAUGAAAGUCCCUAUCCUCCCUCCAACCCCUCACCUAUCCUAACUCCUACCCCCACCUUAUUAAAGUACACUCUUCAGAGUCAGACGUUGUUAACGGUCUUUGUUUUUCCAAUUUAGAUGAUUUUUUAUUUUUUAUUUUUCAUUUUUUUUAAAGUUUCCAUAGGUUAUUGAGGAACAGAUGGUGUUUGGCUAUGUGAGUAAGUUCUUUAGUGGUGAUUUGUGAGAUUUUGGUGCACCCAUCACCCGAGCAGUAUACGCUGCACCCUAUUUGUAGUCUUUUAUCCCUCACCCCCUUUCUACCCUUUCCCCCUGAGUCUUCAAAGUCCAUUGUGUCAUUCUUAUGCCUUUGCAUCCUCAUAGCUUAGCUCCCACUUAUGAGUGAGAACAUACAAUGUUGGUUUUCUAUCCCUGAGUUACUUGACUUAGAAUAAUAGUCUCCAGUCUCAUCCAGGUCACCGUGAAUGCCGUUAAUUCAUUCCUUUUUGUGGCUAAGUAGUAGUCCAUCAUAUAUACAUACCACAGUUUCUUUAUCUGCUCAUUGAUUGAUGGGCAUUUGGGUUGGUGCUAUGGUUUUGCAAUUGCGAAUUGUGCUGCUAUAAACAUGCGUGUGCAAAUAUCUUUUUCGUAUAAUGACUUCUUUUCCUCUGAUAGAUACCCAGUAGUGGGAUUGCUGGAUCAAAUGGUAGUUUUACUUUUAGUUCUUUAAGGAAUCUCCACAGUGUUUUCCAUAGUGGCUAUACUAGUUUACAUUCCCACCAGCCAUGUAGAAGUGUUCCCUGAUCACCACAUCCAUGCCAACAUCUACUAUUUUUCGAUUUUUAGAUUAUGGCCAUUCUUGCAGGAGUAAAGUGGUAUCACAUUGUGGUUUUGAUUUGCAUUUCCCUGAUCAUUAGUGAUGUUGGGCAUUUUUUUAUGUUUGUUGGCCAUUUGUAUAUCUUCUUUUGGGAAUUGUCUAUUCAUGUCCUUAGCCCACUUUUUGAUGGGAUCAUUUUUUUUUUCUUGCUAAUUUGUUUGAGCUCCUUAUAGAUUCUGGAUAUUAGUCCUUUGUCAGACAUAUAGAUUGUGAAGGUUUUUUCCCACUCUGUGGGUUGUCUCUUUACUCUGCUGACUGUUCUUUUUGCCAUGAGAAAGCUCCUUAGUUUAAUUAAGUCCCAGCAAUUAUCUUUGGUUUUAUUGCAUUUGCUUUUAGGUUCUUGGUUAUGAAAUCCUUGCCUAAGCCAAUGUCUAGAAGGGUUUUGCCAAUGAUAUCUUCUAGAAUUUUUGUAGUUUCAGGUCUUAGAUUAAGUCCUUAAUCCAUCUUGAGUUGAUUUUUGUAUAAGGUGAGAGAUGAGGAUCCAGUUUCAUUCUCCUGUAUGUGGCUAGCCAAUUAUCCCAGCACCAUUUGUUGAAAAGGAUGUCCUUUCCCCACUUUAUGUUUUUGUUUGCUUUGUCAAAGAUCAAUUGGCUGUAAGUAUUUGGGUUUAUUUCUGAGUUCUCUUUUCUGUUCCAUUGGUCUAUGUGCCUGUUUUUAUACCAGUACCAUGCUGUUUUGGUGACUAUGGCCUUAUAGCAUAGUUUGAAAUCAGGUAAUGUGAUGCCUCCAGAUUUGUUCUUUUUGCUUAGUAUUGCUUUGGAUAUGUGGGCUCUUUUUUGGUUCCAUAUGAAUUUUAGAAUUGUUUUCUCUAAUUCUGUGAAGAAUGAUGGUGGUAUUUUGAUGGGAAUUGUGUUGAAUUUGUAGAUUGCUUUUAGCAGUAUGGUCAUUUUCACAAUAUUGAUUCUACCUAUCCAUGAGCUCCUCCUCAACAUAGUAUUGGAAGUCCUGGCCUGAGCAAUCAGACAAGAGAAUGAAAUACAGGGCAUCCAAAUUGGUAAAGAAGAAGUCAAACUGUCGCUGUUUGCUGAUGAUAUGAUUGUUUACCUAGAAAACCCUAAGGACUCCUCCAGAAAGCUCCUAUAACUGAUAAAAGAAUUCAGGAAAGUUUUCUGGAUACAAAAUUAAUAUACACAAAUCAGUAGCUCUUCUAUACACCAACAGCGACCAAACUGAGAAUCAAAUCAAUAAUGCAACCCCUUUUACGAUAGCUGCAAAAAAAAAGAUACUUAGGAAUAUACCUAACCAAGGAGGUGAAAGACCUCUACAAGGAAAAGCUACAAAACACAGCUGAAAAAAAUCACAGACAACACAUACUAAUGGUCUUUACAUACAAACACUUUCUGGCCUUUCCUUUCUCUGUGCAUAAGUUUAAAAAGCUUUGUUUUUCGUGGUUGUAUUCUUAAAGUACAUGCAACUUUUAUUCAGUUUUACCUCAGUGAAAAUUAUAUCAUAAGCUUUCUUAAGUAUGACUUUUAAUGGCUGCUUAAUAUCCUAUUGAAUAUAUGUAUUUUAAUUUGCUUAAUUAUGUACUGUUGAAUAAUUAGUUUUUUUCUAGCUUUUUACUAUUAUAAAACCUGCAGUAACUGUCUUGCACAUACAGCCUUUUCUGUUCUAUUUAGGCAAAUUCUUUCUUUCUUUCUUUUUUUUGAAUAGAGAAAGGGUUCUCACUAUGUUGUCCAAGUUGGUCUUGAACUCUUGGCCUCAGAUGAUUCUCCCACCUUGGCCUCCCAAAGUGCUGGAAUUACAGGAGUGAGCCACCGUGCCUGGCCUCUUUCCACAAUUUCUCUAGAUAUAGCCACACUCCGGGAGAGCAUUCCUGGGUUGCGUUAAUGAUUCUUUCCAUGACCCUGGGAAGUUGGCUAUGCAGGAAGUUGGCUAACACAGAGGAAGGAGCAUGGGUUUUGAGGGUCAGACAAACUUAUAUUCAAAUCCUAGCUUUGGCCGAGUGUGAUGGCUCACACCUGUAAUCCCAGCACUUGGGAAGGCUGAGACAGGUGGAUCACUUGAGGUCAAGAGUUCAAGACCAGCUUGGCCAACAUGUGAAACCCUAUCUCUACCAAAAAUACAAAAAUUAACUGGGUGUGGUGGUUGCACACCUGAAAUCCCAGCUACCUGGGAGGCUGAGGCAUGAGAAUCGCUUGAAGCUGGGAGGCGAAGGUUGCAGUGAGCUGAAAUCACACCACUGCACUCCAGCCUGGGUGACAGAGCAAGACUCUGUCUCAAAAAAGAAAAAAAAAAUCCUAACUUUGCCAUUGAUUAGCUGUGUGACUUUGGAAAAUAACUUAACCUCUCUGACUCUCAUAUUGUGCAUUUGUGAUACAGAGAUAAUAAUGCCUACUUAAUGGUGCUACUAUAUUAUGAAGAUUAUUUUGUAAAGCACUUAUGGAGAUAACUUCCCUGAAUUAACACAGAGUAAAAGAUAUUUCCUGUACUUCCUUGAAAACAACAAUGUUGUGGGGACCUUUAAAAAAAUUGAAGUGUGGCUUAUAUACUGUAAGGUGCACAUGUUUUAAACACAUAACUUGACGAUUUUUAAGCAUAUGUCUAAACCCAAGUAACUACAAUUCAGAUCAAGAAAUAGAACAUUUUCAUCACCCAGAAGAUUCCCUUAUGCCUCCCACUUCCCCAUCAGUAACCAUUUUCCUUCUCAGAGGUAAGUGCUGAUGUCUACCAAAAUGGAUUAGUUUUUUGUCUUAAGCUUUAUUAUUUUUUCUUUUAUUUCUUUAAAUAAAGUCUCUUAUAAAUUUAUUUCCCCAACAAUUUUGUCAUUAGGAUAGCAUUGGCUUUCACCUAGAUAACAAGAUUUUUCAGCACAAAUAUAAAGUUUUCUGUAAGUAGCAUCCAGUAGUUAGUCCUACGCUGAAUCCAAAACCUCUUAUUUUGCAUGUCAUUCUUUCCCAGUCUUCAGUUGCACAGCGGAAGAGGAAAAGGGUGGAAGAGCAGAGGAAGAGAGGGUGCUAUUUUAUCAGGGACAAUGAGAAUUCAACAUGGCUGGGGAGGCCUCAGGAAACUUACAAUCAUGGCAGAAGGCGAAGGGGAAGAAAGGCACCUUCUUCACAAGGCUGCAGGAGGGAGAAUCAUCUUAACCUUUAUUUAAAGGAAUCAGACAGUAUAUACUUUUGUGUUUCUGGUAUCUUUUGCUCAAUAAUUAUGUCUGUAAGAUUUAUCCAUGCUGUUGUGAGUUUUAAUAGUUUGUCCUUUUAUAUUGUGUCAUAUUUCAAGCUCUGAACAUCCCAACAUUUGUUUAUCUUUCUGCUAUUGAUGGACAUUUGAGCUGUUUCCAGUUUGGAUCUAUUAUGAACACUUUGGCACAUAUCUCUAGUGGACACAGAACACUCAUUUUUUUUGGUAUAUAUACCUAGGAGUAAAAUUGCUGGGUCAUGGGGUAGGUGAAUAUUUAGCUUUGGUAGAUAUUUCCAUUAUCGUCUACGAAGACAGAUUUUGAAAAGCUAAAGUUGGUCAGGCGCGGUGGCUCACACCUGUAAUCCCAGCAUUUUGGGAGGCCAAGGCGGGUGGAUUACCUGAGGUCAGGAGUUCAAGAGCAGCCUGGCCUAGUUGGUGAAACCCUGUCUCUACUAAAAAUAUUUUUAAAAAUUAUCCAGGCAUGGUGGUGGGCACCUGUAAUCCCAGAUAUUCGGGAGGCUGAGGUAGGAGAAUCGUUUGAACCCGGGAGACGGAGGUUGCAGUUGUGAGCCAAGAUCAUGCCACUUGCACUCCAGCCUGGGCGACACAGUGAGACUGUCUCAAAAAAAAAAAAAAAAGUCACUUAAUUAUUUAUUCGAUAAAUGGUAAACGCUACUAUGCAUCACGUACAGUCCUAAGUCCUGAGUUGGAGAAGUUCCAGGGUUAGUCAAUUGAGAGAAUCAAAGACAUUAGGGACCACUUUUUCUUUUUACCCUCUUUAGAGUGUUUUAGGGCACUGAACUUCAUCUCCUCAUUCCUACCCUCCUGGUCUUAAGAUGGUCUCUGCAGUUUCUCGUAUUAUAUUAAUAUCAUUACAAGAUCUCAUCCACAUACAAAAAGCAGGUGAGGAGAAGGGGAAUGGUUCUCCUUGUUUGUGCAUUUUAUUUUAUUUUUUAAUAAAAAAAAAAACUUUCUCAUAACUCUCCAGCAAGCUUUCCCUCUGGCCCCAUUGGCUGGGUUAGGUGAUAUGCUCAUGCCAUAGCAGAAAAGUCUGGAUGAAGAGUUUCCAAUGACUGGGUGUGGUGGCUCAUGCCUGUGAUAGCAGCACUUUGGGAGGCUGAGGGAGGAGGAUUGCUUGAGCCUAGGAGGUCAAGGUUGUAGUGAGCCGAGAUAGUGCCACCGCACUCCAGCCUGGGGCAACAAAGCAAGACCCUGUUUCAAAAAUUUAAAAAAGUUUCCAGCAUUUUCCUUCUUUUUGAGUUUCCAGCAUUUUCAACUUCUUUAAUGAGAAGCAUGUUCAGCCAGCAAAGAAGAAGAAGAAAAAUGGUUAUAGACAAGCAACCAACAGUAUCUGCCAUAGCUAUUUUAUAGCUGUUUAAACUUGGGGAAAUUUGGAUACACAAAGAGAUGCCAGGGAUUAACCUACCCAGAGGAAAGGCCACGUGAGGACACAGCAAGAAGGUGGCCGUCUGCAAGCCGAGAGAGGCCUCAGAAGAAGCCAAACCUGCUGAUACCUUGGACUUCCCAGCCUCCAGAUUUGUGAGAAAUAAACUACUGUUGUUUUAAGUCA
Homo sapiens (human) is the source of this 12552-nucleotide non-coding RNA. NCBI's taxonomy places the organism in Eukaryota, Metazoa, Chordata, Mammalia, Primates, Hominidae. The record is from RefSeq and is a predicted model, not a curated record.